AUGACCUUCAUCAUCAUCUUCAUCUGGACUCUCACAGUGUUUGCUCAAGAGUGUAGAGGACAGAUCACCGUCACUCAGAGUCCCUCAAUGACAGCAGCUCAACCAGGACAAACUGUGGAGAUCAACUGUAAAACCAGCAGUAAUGUGUACAAAUAUAGUGAUGGGGAUGAAACUUUAGCAUGGUACUUACAGAAACAUGGAGAAGCUCCUAAACUCCUGAUUUAUUAUGCAAAAAAACUCCAGUCAGGAACUCCAUCUAGAUUCAGUGGCAGUGGAUCUAACAGUGAUUUCACUCUGACCAUCAGUGGAGUCCAGACUGAAGAUGCUGGACAUUAUUACUGUCAGAGUUAUCACAGUGGUGGUGUGUUCACACAGUGA
Megalobrama amblycephala (Wuchang bream) is the source of this 378-nucleotide non-coding RNA. The record is from the annotation of a RefSeq genome assembly. Lineage: Eukaryota; Metazoa; Chordata; Actinopteri; Cypriniformes; Xenocyprididae.